UCUGAUUUGUAUACCCUUAUGUGCUAUCUGUUUUUUUUUACGCCUAGCAUUUUUACCUUUGAAACCCCAUAUAUGUCUUAUCCUUCUUCCCCCUUUUUUAGUAUUAGGAAUCCAAAUACCCGGGGACUAAUAGGUUGGGACGGGUAAUUUCAUGCAGUAAGUAAACGAGACAAAAUGCGUUUAAAUACCUUAACGGGAAGGGGUAGAAUAUAGAGAUGAUGACGAUGCGAUAAUAUCAUAAAGCGACCUCUCUUUGGGAAUAUGUGUGGGAUAUUGUAUCGAAUAAUUCAUAUAAUAGUUAAACCUAGGACCCCCCCCCCUACCUUUACUUUUUGUUUAAAUACUUUCUCUAAAAUUUCCCUUUU
This 365-nucleotide long non-coding RNA is filed under the name Nicotiana benthamiana. Its description in RNAcentral is "long non-coding RNA (NBEN_LNC022775)". Lineage: Eukaryota; Viridiplantae; Streptophyta; Magnoliopsida; Solanales; Solanaceae. The record is from RNAcentral.